GCCACCGUGGCUCAAUGGUAGAGCACGAGUUUUGUAAACUCGGGGUUGGGGGUUCAAUUCCCUCCGGUGGCU
This 72-nucleotide transfer RNA is filed under the name Candidatus Pacearchaeota archaeon. RNAcentral describes it as "tRNA-Thr". It matches the Rfam family "tRNA". From Rfam's summary of the family: Transfer RNA (tRNA) molecules are approximately 80 nucleotides in length. Their secondary structure includes four short double-helical elements and three loops (D, anti-codon, and T loops). The record is from RNAcentral. Lineage: Archaea; Nanobdellati.